RNAcentral lists this ribosomal RNA (253 nucleotides) under uncultured microorganism. Its description in RNAcentral is "partial 16S ribosomal RNA". It matches the Rfam family "Bacterial small subunit ribosomal RNA", at positions 524 to 776 of the family's 1533-position model. The record is from RNAcentral.
UACGGAGGGGGCAAGCGUUGUUCGGAGUUACUGGGCGUAAAGCGCGCGUAGGUGGCUUGAUAAGCCGGUUGUGAAAGCCCCGGGCUCAACCUGGGAACGGCAUCCGGAACUGUCAAGCUAGAGUGCAGGAGAGGAAGGUAGAAUUCCCGGUGUAGCGGUGAAAUGCGUAGAGAUCGGGAGGAAUACCAGUGGCGAAGGCGGCCUUCUGGACUGUAACUGACACUGAGGCUCGAAAGCGUGGGUAGCAAACAGG